AGCAUAUCAAUAAGCGGAGGAAAAGAAACCAACAGGGAUUGCCCUAGUAACGGCGAGUGAAGCGGCAACAGCUCAAAUUUGAAAUCUGGCGUCUUUGGCGUCCGAGUUGUAAUUUGCAGAGGGCGCUUUGGCAUUGGCAGCGGUCCAAGUUCCUUGGAACAGGACGUCACAGAGGGUGAGAAUCCCGUACGUGGUCGCUAGCCUUUACCGUGUAAAGCCCCUUCGACGAGUCGAGUUGUUUGGGAAUGCAGCUCUAAAUGGGAGGUAAAUUUCUUCUAAAGCUAAAUACUGGCCAGAGACCGAUAGCGCACAAGUAGAGUGAUCGAAAGAUGAAAAGCACUUUGGAAAGAGAGUUAAAAAGCACGUGAAAUUGUUGAAAGGGAAGCGCUUGCAGCCAGACUUGCCUGUAGUUGCUCAUCCGGGUUUCUACCCGGUGCACUCUUCUAUAGGCAGGCCAGCAUCAGUUUGGGCGGUUGGAUAAAGGUCUCUGUCAUGUACCUCCUUUCGGGGAGAACUUAUAGGGGAGACGACAUGCAACCAGCCUGGACUGAGGUCCGCGCAUCUGCUAGGAUGCUGGCGUAAUGGCUGUAAGCGGCCCGUCUUGAAACACGGACCAAGGAGUCUAACAUCUAUGCGAGUGUUUGGGUGUCAAGCCCGAGCGCGUAAUGAAAGUGAACGGAGGUGGGAACCUUUCGGGGUGCACCAUCGACCGAUCCUGAUGUCUUCGGAUGGAUUUGAGUAAGAGCAUAGCUGUUGGGACCCGAAAGAUGGUGAACUAUGCUUGAAUAGGGUGAAGCCAGAGGAAACUCUGGUGGAGGCUCGCAGCGGUUCUGACGUGCAAAUCGAUCGUCAAAUUUGGGCAUAGGGGCGAAAGACUAAUCGAACUAUCU
This 890-nucleotide ribosomal RNA is filed under the name Leptosphaerulina sp. RNAcentral describes it as "partial 28S ribosomal RNA". It matches the Rfam family "Eukaryotic large subunit ribosomal RNA", at positions 37 to 945 of the family's 3401-position model. The record is from RNAcentral. Lineage: Eukaryota; Fungi; Ascomycota; Dothideomycetes; Pleosporales; Didymellaceae.